Molecule: transfer RNA, 74 nt
Filed under: bacterium
Lineage: Bacteria
Also listed under: 1 other name
Description: tRNA-Met
Rfam family: tRNA
About the family: Transfer RNA (tRNA) molecules are approximately 80 nucleotides in length. Their secondary structure includes four short double-helical elements and three loops (D, anti-codon, and T loops). Further hydrogen bonds mediate the characteristic L-shaped molecular structure. tRNAs have two regions of fundamental functional importance: the anti-codon, which is responsible for specific mRNA codon recognition, and the 3' end, to which the tRNAs corresponding amino acid is attached (by aminoacyl-tRNA synthetases). tRNAs cope with the degeneracy of the genetic code in two manners: having more than one tRNA (with a specific anti-codon) for a particular amino acid; and 'wobble' base-pairing, i.e. permitting non-standard base-pairing at the 3rd anti-codon position.
Source: RNAcentral
CGCGGGGUGGAGCAGUCUGGUAGCUCGUCGGGCUCAUAACCCGGAGGUCCUUGGUUCGAAUCCAAGCCCCGCUA